GUGCCAGCCGCCGCGGUAAUACGGGGGGUGCAAGCGUCAAUCGGAAUCACUGGGCGUAAAGGGUGCGUAGGCGGUGCAUUAGGUCUGUCGUGAAAUCCCCGGGCUCAACCUGGGAAUGGCGGUGGAAACCGGUGUACUAGAGUAUGGGGGAGGGUGGUGGAAUUCCAGGUGUAGCGGUGAAAUGCGUAGAGAUCUGGAGGAACAUCAGUGGCGAAGGCGGCCACCUGGCCCAAUACUGACGCUGAGGCACGAAAGCGUGGGGGCAAACAGGAUUAGAUACCCUGUAGUCCACGCCCUAAACGAUGAAUACUAGAUGUUUGGUGCCAAGCGUACUGAGUGUCGUAGCUAACGCGAUAAGUAUUCCGCCUGGGAAGUACGGCCGCAAGGUUAAAACUCAAAGGAAUUGACGGGGGCCCGCACAAGCGGUGGAGCAUGUGGUUUAAUUCGAUGCAACGCGAAGAACCUUACCUGGGCUUGACAUGUCUGGAAUCCUGCAGAGAUGCGGGAGUGCCCUUCGGGGAAUCAGAACACAGGUGCUGCAUGGCUGUCGUCAGCUCGUGUCGUGAGAUGUUGGGUUAAGUCCCGCAACGAGCGCAACCCUUGUCCUUAGUUGCCAGCGGUUCGGCCGGGCACUCUAGGGAGACUGCCGGUGACAAACCGGAGGAAGGUGG
Molecule: ribosomal RNA, 671 nt
Filed under: uncultured bacterium
Lineage: Bacteria
Description: bacterial SSU rRNA
Rfam family: Bacterial small subunit ribosomal RNA
Source: RNAcentral